CAGUCGCCGCGGUAAUACGGAGGAUCCGAGCGUUAUCCGGAUUUAUUGGGUUUAAAGGGUGCGUAGGCGGCUCAUUAAGUCAGGGGUGAAAGACGGUAGCUUAACUAUCGCAGUGCCUUUGAUACUGAUGAGCUUGAAUACACUUGAGGUAGGCGGAAUGUGACAAGUAGCGGUGAAAUGCAUAGAUAUGUCACAGAACACCAAUUGCGAAGGCAGCUUACUAAAGUGAGAUUGACGCUGAGGCACGAAAGCGUGGGGAUCAAACAGGAUUAGAUACCCCUGUAGUCCCUGUCUCUUAUAC
RNAcentral lists this ribosomal RNA (301 nucleotides) under uncultured bacterium. RNAcentral describes it as "partial 16S ribosomal RNA". It matches the Rfam family "Bacterial small subunit ribosomal RNA", at positions 509 to 807 of the family's 1533-position model. The record is from RNAcentral.